AGUGAACGCCGGCGGUAGGCCUAACACAUGCAAGUCGAACGGCAGCACAGGAGAGCUUGCUCUCUGGGUGGCGAGUGGCGGACGGGUGAGGAAUACAUCGGAAUCUACUUUUUCGUGGGGGAUAACGUAGGGAAACUUACGCUAAUACCGCAUACGACCUACGGGUGAAAGCAGGGGACCUUCGGGACUUGAGCGAGUGACAGAGCCGAUGUCGGAUUAGCUAGUUGGCGGGGUAAAGGCCCACCAAGGCGACGCCCCGUAGCUGGUCUGAGAGUAUGAUCAGCCACACUGGAACUGAGACACGGUCCAGACUCCUACGGGAGGCAGCAGUGGGGAAUAUUGGACAAUGGGCGCAAGCCUGAUCCAGCCAUACCGCGUGGGUGAAGAAGGCCUUCGGGUUGUAAAGCCCUUUUGUUGGGAAAGAAAUCCAGCUGGCUAAUACCCGGUUGGGAUGACGGUACCCAAAGAAUAAGCACCGGCUAACUUCGUGCCAGCCGCCGCGGUAA
This 506-nucleotide ribosomal RNA is filed under the name uncultured bacterium. Its description in RNAcentral is "partial 16S ribosomal RNA". It matches the Rfam family "Bacterial small subunit ribosomal RNA", at positions 29 to 523 of the family's 1533-position model. The record is from RNAcentral.